CCUACGGGAGGCAGCAGUGGGGAAUAUUGGGCAAUGGGCGCAAGCCUGACCCAGCAACGCCGCGUGAAGGAAGAAGGCUUUCGGGUUGUAAACUUCUUUUCUCAGGGACGAAGCAAGUGACGGUACCUGAGGAAUAAGCCACGGCUAACUACGUGCCAGCAGCCGCGGUAAUACGUAGGUGGCAAGCGUUAUCCGGAUUUACUGGGUGUAAAGGGCGUGUAGGCGGGAAAGCAAGUCAGAGGUGAAAACCAUGGGCUCAACCUGUGGCCUGCAUUUGAAACUGUUUUUCUUGAGUACUGGAGAGGCAGCCGGAAUUCCUAGUGGAGCGGUGAAAUGCGUAGAGAUUAGGAGGAACACCAGUGGCGAAGGCGGUCUGCUGGACAGCAACUGACGCUGAGGCGCGAAAGCGUGGGGAGCAAACAGGAUUAGAUACCCCAGUAGUC
This 443-nucleotide ribosomal RNA is filed under the name uncultured bacterium. RNAcentral describes it as "partial 16S ribosomal RNA". It matches the Rfam family "Bacterial small subunit ribosomal RNA", at positions 338 to 795 of the family's 1533-position model. The record is from RNAcentral.